CCUACGGGAGGCAGCAGUGAGGAAUAUUGCUCAAUGGACGAGAGUCUGAACCAGCCAAGUAGCGUGAAGGAUGACUGCCCUAUGGGUUGUAAACUUCUUUUAUAUGGGAAUAAAAUGUUCCACGUGUGGGAUUUUGUAUGUACCAUAUGAAUAAGGAUCGGCUAACUCCGUGCCAGCAGCCGCGGUAAUACGGAGGAUCCGAGCGUUAUCCGGAUUUAUUGGGUUUAAAGGGAGCGUAGGUGGAGUGUUAAGUCAGUUGUGAAAGUUUGCGGCUCAACCGUAAAAUUGCAGUUGAAACUGGCAGUCUUGAGUACAGUAGAGGUGGGCGGAAUUCGUGGUGUAGCGGUGAAAUGCUUAGAUAUCACGAAGAACUCCGAUUGCGAAGGCAGCUCACUGGACUGCAACUGACACUGAGGCUCGAAAGUGUGGGGAGCAAACAGGAUUAGAUACCCCUGUAGUC
RNAcentral lists this ribosomal RNA (460 nucleotides) under uncultured bacterium. RNAcentral describes it as "partial 16S ribosomal RNA". It matches the Rfam family "Bacterial small subunit ribosomal RNA", at positions 338 to 795 of the family's 1533-position model. The record is from RNAcentral.